CGAGAAUCUUCGGCAAUGGGCGCAAGCCUGACCGAGCGACGCCGCGUGGAGGACGAAGGCCUUCGGGUUGUAAACUCCUGUUGAGGGGGAAGAAGGGCCGUUAAAAGCCUUGACUGAUCCCUGGAGGAAGCACGGGCUAAGUUCGUGCCAGCAGCCGCGGUAAGACGAACCGUGCGAACGUUAUUCGGAAUCACUGGGCUUAAAGCGCGUGUAGGCGGGGCGGCACGUCGGCCGUUGAAAUCCCCCGGCUCAACCGGGGAAGUGGCGCCGAUACGACCGCCCUCGAGGGGCGUAGGGGGAGCCGGAACUUCCGGUGGAGCGGUGAAAUGCGUUGAGAUCGGAAGGAACGCCCGUGGCGAAAGCGGGCUCCUGGACGCCUACUGACGCUGAGACGCGAAAGCCAGGGGAGCGAAC
Molecule: ribosomal RNA, 414 nt
Filed under: uncultured bacterium
Lineage: Bacteria
Description: bacterial SSU rRNA
Rfam family: Bacterial small subunit ribosomal RNA
Source: RNAcentral